RNAcentral lists this ribosomal RNA (253 nucleotides) under uncultured bacterium. RNAcentral's name for it is "partial 16S ribosomal RNA". It matches the Rfam family "Bacterial small subunit ribosomal RNA", at positions 524 to 776 of the family's 1533-position model. The record is from RNAcentral.
AACGUAGGUGGCAAGCGUUAUCCGGAUUUACUGGGCGUAAAGCGUGUGCAGGCGGUUGUGGAAGUGGGGUAUGAAAUCGCCGCGCUUAACGUGGCGGGGUUAUGCCAGACUGCACAACUCGAACCCAUCAGAGGGACGUGGAAUUCCGGGUGUAGUGGUGAAAUGCGUAGAGAUCCGGAGGAACACCAGAGGCGAAAGCGGCGUCCUGGGGUGAGGUUGACGCUCAGACACGAAAGCAUGGGGAGCGAACGGG